AUACCUUUCUCGGCCUUUUGGCUAAGAUCAAGUGUAGUAUCACUGAUACGUGGCCCAUUGGUUCACAUGAUAUUAAAUUAAUUUUUCAUGCGGUUAUAGCCCACCACACAGCAGCUUGCUUCUUGGGGCACUCAAGCGUUGCCUUGGCUUGGUUAAUUUUU
This 161-nucleotide small nuclear RNA is filed under the name Cucumis melo (muskmelon). Its description in RNAcentral is "U2 spliceosomal RNA". It matches the Rfam family "U2 spliceosomal RNA". Rfam says of the family: U2 is a small nuclear RNA (snRNA) component of the spliceosome (involved in pre-mRNA splicing). Complementary binding between U2 snRNA (in an area lying towards the 5' end but 3' to hairpin I) and the branchpoint sequence (BPS) of the intron results the bulging out of an unpaired adenosine, on the BPS, which initiates a nucleophilic attack at the intronic 5' splice site, thus starting the first of two transesterification reactions that mediate splicing. RNAcentral also lists the same sequence under 1 other name. Lineage: Eukaryota; Viridiplantae; Streptophyta; Magnoliopsida; Cucurbitales; Cucurbitaceae. The record is from Rfam by way of RNAcentral.